RNAcentral lists this long non-coding RNA (5200 nucleotides) under Homo sapiens (human). Its description in RNAcentral is "HSALNT0154642". The record is from RNAcentral. Lineage: Eukaryota; Metazoa; Chordata; Mammalia; Primates; Hominidae.
UUAAUAUAUUCAGAUUAAUAUACACAGGUAUAUUGAACUAAUUUCUUAUUCUUUGAUAUUUUGGUUUUUCAUUUAAGUUUAUACACCUGUGUGCAUCUAUGAUAGUUUUUAAAUAAAAUAUUAGGUCAAAGGUUCUAAAGGGUAGACAGAUGUCAUGCAGGUGAGUGUCAGUAUUAGACAUUGCCACUUUUCUCACAUUUGGGAACUCUUUGAUUGCAAUGGAAAAAUGAAGAAGACUUCGAUUAUAAUAGAUUUUUAUAAAUCAGUUACUUAAACAUUAUAUAAAUAGAAUAAGACCACAAUUUCCCUGCACUUUAAAAGCUGGGCAUAAUUUUGAUUCCUCCAUCUCCUUUCCCGACAUACAACGAAUCAUUAAGUCCUGUCUGUUUCACUUUCAUAGUGUGUUUCCAACCUUCCUUCUUCUCCAACCCUUCUGACACUGUUAUAGUCCAGGUCCCAUGUUUGCAUUCCUGAGUUUUCAACAUUGCUCUUUGUUUAGGUUUUUUGUCUCUUAUCUUUCUUUUUACUGUAACAUUUCCCAAGUGUUUUCCAUGAGACACUGGUCCCAUGAGAUACAUGACCAAAGAAGUCCCAUGACAAAAUUAUGCAAUCUUACUUAUUCUCUUCCCUCUUGGGGAUACACCAAGCAUAUCAGUUUGCUAGAUUUUCUAGAAAAUCCUAGAGCUAAACAAUCAAAACCAACAAAAACAGUAAGAAAAUUUUUAUUUAGCUUGCUUGAACAUAAAAUAUACUAAUCCUAACUCACACAUUCUUUCAACAAAUGACUGUUUGUACGAUUACCAUGAGUGAUGGCCAGUUGUGUGAGUGUAUAAGUGUGUAGAUAUGUGUGUGUGUGACAUCUUUUAAGCACCAGUUGAACCUGUGCCUUAAGCAAACACUUUGGGUGUCACUUUUACAUUGCAUUUCACACAGCUGAUCAAGUAAUUUUUUAAAUACUAGAUAUAAUUAUAUAUUUUUGGAAAAAUUAUCCAGUAAAGUAGACAUUCUGAAUGACUACAGUGGCAUUCAAGAUCCUUUAGAGUUUCCCUUAGUCAUAAUGUUCCAGUCUGAUGUCCCAUUGCACCCCUGCAUCAUCAGAAAAUCAAAACAUAUCAAAGUUCUCUCUCCUCUCCAAAUAUGUCAUAACUUUCUCAGCUUUUUAUGCCUGAUUUCUGCUAUUUCUUCUGUUGACCUUCUCCAGUGAUAAUAUUUGGUUUACCACUAAUAGCAAAUAUUAAAAUCUUGCAAAAUCGUGCCUAUCUUCUCCAGUGGUCACUUCACUCAUAUCCUUCAAAUUUCAAUGAUGGCUUCUCUACAAAACAUUUUCUAAUGCCCUGAAAAAGCUGCCUCUUCUGUCUUAACAGCCUCCAGGUAGGCAGACUAGUGAUGUUCGCCUUCCUUUUAUAGAUGAGAAAACUGUUUGCAUAAUUGUGGGUUCUCUGCACAUUCUGUGAUCUUUGCUAACCAUCUGGUUACAUCUCAAAAGAUAAGAGGUUAGAGAGUGAAGAGGGUGGAGGGAGGGAGUGUCCAGGGACUUCUGGAAUCUCAAAGGGGGUGAACACUUAGCUAAGACACAAGAGGCCUUAACUAAAUCCCAAGUUUGUUUAUGGCUGUCAGAAAUGUACCUGGCAUGUUCAGUUCUGAUUUUCAGGGAUUUAAGUUUAGCUGGCAAAGGAAGUUGUAUAAACUCAGGAAAUGGGACAGGAAAAAAAUAUGAAAGAAAGCCAGAUAAUCAGAACCUAUUCAAUUCAUAAAAAUGUGUCAGCUUGAAUUAUAGUUCUGGGGGAGAUACUUGGUAUAGUUCACUAUUCAGUAACUAUUGGCCUUUUGGGUCCCUAAAUUAGCUGUUUACUGACUUAUUUAAGCCAAUCGUUAAAAUCUCCACAUUCUGAACAAACUGCGAGGAUUGUGGGGCAAGCAUGAUGAGUACGAUUAUUAACAGCCUACGUUUUAUUGACGUGUAAAACUAUGUAGAAUGAUUUUACAUCUAGAAUACUCACCAUAAUACCCAUUUUAUAGAAUGGAAAGCUAAGACUAGCUUCUGAUAAUGUUAAGUGACUAUUCAGAGCUAACAGAAACAGGAAUGACAGAGUUAGGCCUUGAAGCCAUGUAUUAUAAAUCCUAGUGAUGUCAAGAGGGUUCGCAUAGCAUGGAGUGAUUUAGUAAGCACCUACUUCUCGGUUUUUAGGACUGCCAGGCAUUGAGGAAGCAGAGGCAUCCAUGAGACAGAGAGAGGGAAGUCAGAGGGCAUGAAGCUCUGCAGAUAUAAUGUUGAGGGCAAGGACAGGGGCCAGAGCCUGUCUUCCUGGUUUGUUCUUCCUGCCUCUGGCUCUUGUCUUUUAUCAGGAAUGAAAGCAUUACCUGUGUUAUCUGAACAAUGGUCUAAUCUCUUUCAGUACCUGGUGCUGAGAUAGAUUUGGCUAGAACACAUUGGGAAGGGAUUUAUGUAAGACUUGAAUAUGUUAUUAACUGUGGGCAGCUGGAGUUUUAGAUAAAUGAUGAUGAAUAUAUGUUUAUUAUUUUGAUCACUUAUUUUAUAAUGUUUCUUGAAAGUUUACUCUGUGUCAGAUAUCAUGCAUAGCUCUCAGCUGUAUGAAACAGACGAAGCCCUUUGUAUUUAAGGGGCCCAGACUCCAACAGACAUAGUGAUAAGGUAAAUCUUAAUCUAUCUGGGGCAUCUGGAACAUUUCAAUAGACAAAAUUAUGGAUAUGUUUUCUGGAAGCAUAGACACACACAUAUGUGUACUCAUACACUUUUACUUAUGGGCAUGAGAUGAGAAAUUCAGAAUCUAUUUAGACUUCUCUAAAGACCAAACAUUUCCCUCCUAGACAUCCAUAAACCUCAGGUAAAGGAUUCUAGGACAGAGCAUCAUUAAUGUGAACAAAUUUUUAUUGCUUCCUACAGUAUUCAGGGCAGUAGGAAUAAAAGGGUAAUGUCCAAUUGACUGUUGUCAACUCACAUCACUACCACAUCCUUGUAAAUCUCCAUGACAUUGUGGAAAGGCAGACAAAUUACAUUCUCAAGGACCUUUUUGCGCAGUGUGUAGUAGUUCUAGGUUAGAACUUGAUAGUGAGAGACAUUAGAUCUGGAAAGCAGAAGAGAGUAAGAAUCCAUUAUCAACUGAGAUAUUUCUAGUCAUUUACAUUAGAAAGUCAUGAAAUUUGCAAUGGCUUGCCAGGAAGCUUUUAAAAAACACAUAUACUCAGUACAAUGGACUGAGAUGGAUGGCAGGAGCUUCCCAGAGAUUCUUUUGAAUUCAAGUUGUGUUCUGGAUAAUGCCUGAGAACAACCCACUUCUGUGUUUCAGGAUGAGGUCUGCAAUGACAACUUUCUGAUCCUUGCUCCCUCAGCUUCCAGUGGUUGGAUGAUGAAACUGAGGAUGAGAAAAGACAAGGACACAGGACCACAGAGACAGUGGGAGAAGUAGGAGCAGAUCACGGCUUCCUUAUAAUUGCGCGAUUAUCUCCGCACCAGAGCACAUUAUAUCUGGCCAAAUUGACUUUUCACAAGAUGACAAAAGUCACUUAACAAGCCAGGAGCUAUGUGCUGCUUGACCCACCACUCUAGCCAUUGCAUGGAAAGCCUCUUCAUGAUAUAAGAAAAUGAAAUCAAACCAUAAGGUGAAGCAGGACAAGAAGCAGGAAGAUCUACCGGACAGAUGGAGAAGAGUGAUGUAAAAGAGGAUGCAUGGAAAGAGGCCAUUUUGGAGUCAGAUGGAUCUGAUUUUGAAUUCCAACUUUAUUACCUACCAACUCUGUGAACUGUAAGCAAGUUUCCUCAUUUGUAAAUGGGGGUAAAUUACCCUUCUCAGCAUGAUUGUGCAUCUUAAAUGGAAAAAACAGCAUGAAAGUAUUUAUCCCAGUACCUCAUACAUUAAAGAUACUUAGAUAAAGUCUCUUCACUUCUUCUUUCUUUAUCUUCCCUUUGACACAAGUCUACCUAGGCUGAUUAUGUUGAACCUUUGAGAGAUGAUCAGAGAAAAAUGGAGCGACAGAGAGAGAGAGAGAGAGGCAGAGGAAGGCAGUGGGCAAAGACAGAAGUGAGUCAGAGGAAAAUCUGAUGGUGGUUAUAGAGUAAUGAAAUAGCUGUUAUUGACCACAGUCAAAACACAGCCUAGUCUUUAAGCCUUGCAUUAGGCAUUCUUUUUCCUCUGCCCAAUCCACACGUGUAACACAGCCAUAAAUCACUGUCCUUCAUAAGCAACAGACAGUAAGUGCCAUGAGCAGUAGUGACAAUAUUUAUCACCAGGUAAGCAGUUCCAUAUAGGGGUUGCUUGGGCCAAGCUCCUAACCAUUUGGAAGAACUGCAACCACUAUGCCUCAUGCCUUCUGUCCUAGGCUUUUUUGGAAUAAGGGGUGUGAAAACAAGGCUGGCCACGGAAUGUAAAGCAACUGGCUUCUAGUUCACCUUUUAUGUGGUCACAAUGGAGACAGGGACUCAAUGAGAUUGUCACUUGAUGUCCCUUCCAGUGUUUCAUAGAUCUGGGGCUCUGGGGCUCAUUGGAAGUACAUUUUAUCUCAUUUAAGCAGUUAGUGAUACAUUUGAUCAACCAUUCUGCUUCUAAGGAGAUUUUACUUGAUCUCAUCUUUGGUGAUGCUAAGACAAAUUAUUUUUUUGUAAUGGGUUGAGCUACAAAUUUGAGGUGGAAAUAAGAUAUUUUUAAUUGGUUUAAUGAUUUACACUAGUUCCCAGUUGCCUUAAUAACAUGAAUUCUAACUUUUGAGACUUCUCUCUUCUUCUGAUUUGUUCAAAACCUACAAGGCUCAAGUGUCCUAAAAAGAAAAGUUAGUCCAAGGUAUAAUAUAGGUCUGAAACUCUUCCAAGGGGUUAUUUGUUACUAACUUCAUCCUUAGAGGGCUGUGAGCAUUUUUCUUUGAAAUCCUAGAAGCAAUCUCUCUGUCUUUCUUUCUCAUCUACCCUAUUUUUCUCCCUUUUUUAAAUCUUUCCUUAAAAAUGCUAUGUUAAAAUUUCCCAACCUUCACCAAACUUGAAGCUAGGCAGAGGCAAGGAAAUACCAUAGGUUGACAAAUUAGAUAAGCUAAACUCUUAUUCUUAGGGAGAAAGUCCUUUAUCUCCGAUGUAUCUUUCUUUGAGUUUCUCUUUGAACUUGGCUUUUCUCAUCACAGAGGUGAUGCACUGGUAUAGGGAAAAGUAGUCAACCACGUGGCCCAGUUUAGUUCACUAUGUAAUCAUUCUGGA